CAGCAGCCGCGGUAAUACGUAGGUGGCAAGCGUUGUCCGGAAUUAUUGGGCGUAAAGGGCUCGCAGGCGGUUUCUUAAGUCUGAUGUGAAAGCCCCCGGCUCAACCGGGGAGGGUCAUUGGAAACUGGGAAACUUGAGUGCAGAAGAGGAGAGUGGAAUUCCACGUGUAGCGGUGAAAUGCGUGGAGAUGUGGAGGAACACCAGUGGCGAAGGCGACUCUCUGGUCUGUAACUGACGCUGAGGAGCGAAAGCGUGGGGAGCGAACAAGAUUAGAUACCCCCGUAGUCCCUGUCUCUUAUAC
RNAcentral lists this ribosomal RNA (301 nucleotides) under uncultured bacterium. RNAcentral's name for it is "partial 16S ribosomal RNA". It matches the Rfam family "Bacterial small subunit ribosomal RNA", at positions 509 to 807 of the family's 1533-position model. The record is from RNAcentral.